ACCUGCAAGUCGACGGGCGGGGGAACUCUGUCAGUGGCGGACGGGUGAGUAACGCGUAGGUAUCUAUCCUUGGGUGGGGGACAACUGUGGGAAACUACAGCUAAUACCGCAUGAUGACCCGAGGUCCAAAGCUCGCGAGAGCGCCUGGGGAGGAGCCUGCGUACGAUUAGCUUGUUGGUGGGGUAAAGGCCUACCAAGGCGACGAUCGUUAGCUGGUCUGAGAGGAUGAUCAGCCACAUUGGGACUGAGACACGGCCCAAACUCCUACGGGAGGCAGCAGUGGGGAAUAUUGGACAAUGGGCGCAAGCCUGAUCCAGCAAUGCCGCGUGUGUGAAGAAGGUCUUCGGUUGUAAAGCACUUUCGACGGGGACGAUGAUGACGGUACCCGUAGAAGAAGCCCCGGUUAACUUCGUGCCAGCAGCCGCGGUAAU
Molecule: ribosomal RNA, 431 nt
Filed under: uncultured bacterium
Lineage: Bacteria
Description: bacterial SSU rRNA
Rfam family: Bacterial small subunit ribosomal RNA
Source: RNAcentral